AUGGACAUCACCAUGUUAAGAGUCCGUUCGGCGAGUGACACGUGCAACAUCUACUUCACAUACACAAAGGUGAAUCAUCUCCUUUACACGUGCUCACUUGACCCCUUCGAGGAUGGUAUACUACUUGAGACUCCACUCGUGUGCAUGCAUAUGUAUUGUCGGAAUGGUACGGAUGACGAGGAGGAGUGCGAGCGCAAGUGUACAACUACACCAUCCGUGAGGGAAGCAUGGAAGCGAAGACGGAAGAAGGAGCUGCAGAGUCUACAGCGACCCGACGACCGGAAGCCGCCGGACGUCCGACACUCUCUAGCGCCCGGACGACUGACGUCCACCGGACGUCCGACGCGACCACGCCAGGACCAGCCAGGAGAUCUACAGCGGCCGGACGACCGACAACCUCCGGACGUCCAACAAGUCCCAGCGCCCGGACGACCGACGCCGACCGGAUGA
Molecule: ribosomal RNA, 450 nt
Filed under: Triticum aestivum (bread wheat)
Lineage: Eukaryota; Viridiplantae; Streptophyta; Magnoliopsida; Poales; Poaceae
Description: partial small subunit ribosomal RNA
Source: RNAcentral